GACGAACGCUGGCGGCGUGCUUAACACAUGCAAGUCGAACGGAAAGGCCCUGCUUUUGUGGGGUGCUCGAGUGGCGAACGGGUGAGUAACACGUGAGUAACCUGCCCUUGACUUUGGGAUAACUUCAGGAAACUGGGGCUAAUACCGGAUAGGAGCUCCUGCUGCAUGGUGGGGGUUGGAAAGUUUCGGCGGUUGGGGAUGGACUCGCGGCUUAUCAGCUGGUUGGUGGGGUAGUGGCUUACCAAGGCUUUGACGGGUAGCCGGCCUGGGAGGGUGACCGGCCACAUUGGGACUGAGAUACGGCCCAGACUCCUACGGGAGGCAGCAGUGGGGAAUAUUGCACAAUGGGCGGAAGCCUGAUGCAGCAACGCCGCGUGCGGGAUGACGGCCUUCGGGUUGUAAACCGCUUUCGCCUGUGACGAAGCGUGAGUGACGGUAAUGGGUAAAGAAGCACCGGCUAACUACGUG
Molecule: ribosomal RNA, 468 nt
Filed under: uncultured bacterium
Lineage: Bacteria
Description: partial 16S ribosomal RNA
Rfam family: Bacterial small subunit ribosomal RNA
Source: RNAcentral